AUUUUACCCUAUCGUUUUUCGUCCUGCCUCAUGCGAUGCAAACCUCCCUCCAGCACCCCGCCCGACUCUCUCUCUCUUGCGAUGAAAAAAGGAAACAAACUCGCAGAUCCGCCCCCCUCCCAGAUCCUGCUCGGCGCCUGCGCCCGCGUCUUCCUGCAAUCGCCGCCGCGGAAGCCACCCCUCCCUCCUUCCCCCGGUGGCCGGUGCUCAGAUCGGCGCAAGGACGAAGCAACCCAGUCGCGCCGCUGGUGAGGAGGACGCCUGCUUCUCCCCCAAAGGCGACGACCCAUGCCGCCAUCUCCCGUGCCAACGACACCGCCCCCGACAGCGAUGAGGCCCCACCACCGUCUCCCACGGCAACGCCACCGGUCAACAGCUCGCCCGCGACGCGUCUCCUCGCCCUCACGCUCACGCUACGCGCUGCCACCUCGACGCCAUUCCACGACCUGGCCCGUUGAUGCCACCGGACAGGCCACCGCCUUCACGCCACCAGACGCGCCAAAGCUUCCAUGAUCUACCCCUUUGACGUUGAUUCAAACCACCACCUUCACGACGCCAGAAACACCGCCACCUCCACACCCUGCCUUGCCGUCAGUGCUUCACGCCGUCGCUGCUCCAUGCCACCGGAUGCCAGCCUCUAGCCAGCAACGAGGGCCCAACAGGUAUGGCAUAUCUUCUCUUCACUGUGACUAACUUUGAUCCCGUUCAAAGAUUAUCAGUACCUGACCAACAGAUAUGUGAGUCAGCCCCCUUCCUUCUUCCAUCACCCUUGGUCUACAUUAUCUGCCUGUAGAUCUGGUGAUCUCGUAUGUGACCAUGUGUUCAAUAUGGUUGGCGGCUAAGUUUCUAUUAGAGAUUGAUAAACGUUUGGUGUAAUGCUAGAUAAGUUUAUCUGGGGAUUUUCAAUGUCUUGCUACUACUUGAUAAUUUGACUUGUUCCCAGUGAAGUACGACUACUCUGUUGUUAAAUUCUUGCAAUUGCGCAUCAUAUGGAGUAAGUCCCAAUGCCUUAGCCUAACAUGAAUUUCCAGAAAUUAGAUACCAUUAUUUUCUAUUAUUAAGGUUAUUUUAAUCUAUUAAUAACCAUGCCAUUAUUUUUUUGAAACUUCCAGCUACUUGACAGCAAGAAGAAGCAUGUACCCUACUACCUAGCUAUGGAGACAGUACGACACGAACAAGUGAAGGUGUCCAUCUGGUUCCCCCCCACAACCAGCUUUCCAGUUUGCUGAUAAGGGAAUUUAAUUAUUGAGGUUUUAUCGGUACCAGUCUACAGAUUAUGCUGCUAGAGGUGGUAGUUCUUGAUUGAGUUGUUGUGACAGCGUGCUGACGAGAGGCAAUAGCUGUUGUUAUCGGUGCAGCUAUUGCUUGUGCUUUUCCCUAUAGUUAUUGUGUUGUUGGUCCAUACUUGGUGCUUAUAUGAUGACAAGUGAACUUCUGCUAUAGACUAAUUUUGAUUAUCUAGCUUAGUUAAAAGAUUGAAUUUCUAAACUUAUUACAUCAAUGUGAGUGUGUAACGCCAAGUAUUGUCUGCCCCUCUCCUAUUCUUGAAACAAGGAUUCUAUUGUAUGCUAAUAAUUUUCCAAAUGCCAUUUUUACAGGUUUGCAAAAGGCAGUUGCCAGAAUAAUAAUUGGUACAAAUCUUAGCUGGAAUCUUUAUGUGGUACAGAAGCAGCAGAAAGAAAGUGUCAAAUACAUUUGAACAGAAAUUUAGACAUCAAUUUUUAGCAUUCACCAAUUCUUUCCGCCUGUGAAUCUGAGAAUGUCUAUAGCUAAAAAGCUCCACAAUAUGAAGGCCACAAAGUUUAUUCAACCCUCACCCUCUCUGUCUAAAUUCAGGCUGACAUUCAUGAAUUAAAUUACAACCCAUCACGUUUCAGUGUUCAAUAAUUCCCUAUCUUCAUGGCUGAAAUAGAAUCAAAUAGUCCAUAUGCGGAUUUUAGAAUGUCAAACCAGGUUUGAAAACAAGAGCUCUAGAGUUCUAUGCCUCACAUUUGAUAUUCCUUUUUAAUUGCUAAUACGGUCCAUUGACUAAUACUCUGUUAUAUAAAUAGCACACUUAUUGUGGUUCACAAACAACUAAAAUGGAAUCAAAUAUAUAUUCUUCAUGGAGUUAUAAGUAAUUUUUGGGAUAGACAGAUGUUUGGUUUGCUUUUAUUCUAGAAAGUUGAAAACAUAAGAGAGAGUGGUGUUAAGUAGUUGAUUAACAACAAACAUCGCUUGACAAUGCAAGGUAUAAUAUAAUCAACAACUAAUUCUUCUUCCAUUUUGUUGUCAUGCAAGGUUCUAGGUGCAAAUGAUCAUUCACCGCUCAUAAUAGCAUAAAUACAUAUAAAACUGACAUGGAAGGAUGAUAGCUUGAAGAUCCAAUCUCUUGGAGAAUUGCAGAGAGUUUGAUGGAGGCAAUGCAUGAUUUGAGACAAAGAAGGGUGUGGUUACUUUUGUUAGUGAGUGUUGGACAUUUCAGGCUUCUAUGUAGCCAUGCAAAGAUUUGAUCUUAGAUAUGAAAUUUAUGUGUAUCUUUUAUGGAGAGACUUAUUCGUUACAAAUUUCAUUUUUAUGUGACGCUAACAUUGAUAUAUAUUGAUUUUCUUAUAUUAUUUAUUCACUUUUGUAUUUUCUUGAUUUUCCUAAUUUUUGAGAGAUUUUUUUGAACUACAUUUGGUAGAGUUAUCAAAACAGCAUAACCAAAUGAUCGGUGGAUUCGAUCCCCUAAAAAAGCUCUCAAACAGCAGCGUGGAAACUCCCCCUACUGUUGAUUUCUAACCUGGGCGUGGAGGGGGAUCCAAGUGUCCCAAAAAAAAUUCUGCUGCAGGAUCAGAGAGAUGGAGGGAGACCAGGGGUGAAUUAUGAUCCACGGUCGCUAGCUACUCCAGGCGAUGGAAGACCCAAGUGCACGAGGACGCUGAACUAUGACCAAUUCUUCAACAGGGACUCAGAGAGUAGAAGAGAUUGUAUCAUAGCAUUUGCACAUUGUAUCAUAGCAUUUGCACAUGGACAGAAACCAUUAAAGAUGAGAAACCAUUAAAGAUGCUUAGAGUAUUUAGUAAUUAUAAAGACAUAUCUAUAGAGACCUUUAAACGUGGUGACAAAUGUUAAGUAUAACAUGCUUUGUUAUAAAACAUUAUUUUAGCCGCAUCAUAUAAAGGUCUAUACAGGAGAGUUUGUAGGCCUGCAAUGCUAUACUCUCCGUUAUUGUUAAUUU
Long non-coding RNA from Sorghum bicolor (sorghum), 3202 nucleotides. RefSeq lists it as uncharacterized. Lineage: Eukaryota; Viridiplantae; Streptophyta; Magnoliopsida; Poales; Poaceae. The record is from RefSeq and is a predicted model, not a curated record. The transcript has 3 exons.